GAUGAAGAACGCAGCGAAAUGCGAUAAGUAAUGUGAAUUGCAGAAUUCAGUGAAUCAUCGAAUCUUUGAACGCACAUUGCGCCCGCCAGUAUUCUGGCGGGCAUGCCUGUUUGAGCGUCAUUACAACCCUCAGGCCCCCGGGCCUGGCGUUGGGGAUCGGCGGAGCCCCCCGUGGGCACACGCCGUCCCCCAAAUACAGUGGCGGUCCCGCCGCAGCUUCCAUCGCGUAGUAGCUAACACCUCGCGACUGGAGAGCGGCGCGGCCACGCCGUAAAACACCCAACUCUUCUGAAGUUGACCUCGAAUCAGGUAGGAAUACCCGCUGAACUUAAGCAUAUCAAUAAGCGGAGGA
This 352-nucleotide unclassified non-coding RNA is filed under the name soil metagenome. Its description in RNAcentral is "partial contains 5.8S ribosomal RNA, internal transcribed spacer 2, and large subunit ribosomal RNA". The stretch from base 1 to 120 matches the Rfam family "5.8S ribosomal RNA", at positions 35 to 154 of the family's 154-position model. The record is from RNAcentral.